RNAcentral lists this ribosomal RNA (447 nucleotides) under uncultured bacterium. RNAcentral's name for it is "partial 16S ribosomal RNA". It matches the Rfam family "Bacterial small subunit ribosomal RNA", at positions 29 to 523 of the family's 1533-position model. The record is from RNAcentral.
AACGAACGCUGGCGGCAUGCCUAACACAUGCAAGUCGAACGCUCCGCAAGGGGAGUGGCGCACGGGUGAGUAACACGUGGGAACCUGCCUAUUGGUUCGGAACAACAUUUGGAAACGAACGCUAAUACCGGAUAUCCCCCGAGGGGGAAAGUUUUAUCGCCAAUAGAGGGGCCCGCGUCCGAUUAGGUAGUUGGUGGGGUAAAGGCCUACCAAGCCGACGAUCGGUGGCUGGUCUGAGAGGAUGAUCAGCCACACUGGGACUGAGACACGGCCCAGACUCCUACGGGAGGCAGCAGUGGGGAAUAUUGGACAAUGGGCGGAAGCCUGAUCCAGCAAUGCCGCGUGAGUGAUGAAGGCCUUGGGGUUGUAAAGCUCUUUCGCACGUGACGAUGAUGACGGUAACGUGAGAAGAAGCCCCGGCUAACUUCGUGCCAGCAGCCGCCGUAA